AUGGAUGACUUCUACGUCACCAUCCCUUACGGCCUGGUAGUACUCGGCGGCGGCGUCGCUGGCUACGUCAAGCGGGGGAGCGUGGCUUCGUUGGCCGCUGCAGCAGGAUUCGGAGGCGCGCCCCUCCUCGCCGGCGCUCUCAGCAUCUGGGCCUUCACGGGUGGCCACUCUAGCUCCCUCUUCGCCACCGUCCGCACACCGAUCUGUGUCGAAGCUAGCGUCGACGUAACCCUUUACGACGAGCUCUUCGUCACCUCCAUAAACGAGAAACAUAUCCUUAGUCCUCUUCAGGCAAGAACCCCUUCUUGGACUGAUCCAUAUUGA
This 324-nucleotide ribosomal RNA is filed under the name Triticum aestivum (bread wheat). RNAcentral's name for it is "partial small subunit ribosomal RNA". The record is from RNAcentral. Lineage: Eukaryota; Viridiplantae; Streptophyta; Magnoliopsida; Poales; Poaceae.